This 94-nucleotide transfer RNA is filed under the name Desulfurococcales archaeon ex4484_204. Its description in RNAcentral is "tRNA-OTHER". It matches the Rfam family "tRNA". Rfam says of the family: Transfer RNA (tRNA) molecules are approximately 80 nucleotides in length. Their secondary structure includes four short double-helical elements and three loops (D, anti-codon, and T loops). Further hydrogen bonds mediate the characteristic L-shaped molecular structure. tRNAs have two regions of fundamental functional importance: the anti-codon, which is responsible for specific mRNA codon recognition, and the 3' end, to which the tRNAs corresponding amino acid is attached (by aminoacyl-tRNA synthetases). tRNAs cope with the degeneracy of the genetic code in two manners: having more than one tRNA (with a specific anti-codon) for a particular amino acid; and 'wobble' base-pairing, i.e. permitting non-standard base-pairing at the 3rd anti-codon position. The record is from RNAcentral. RNAcentral also lists the same sequence under 2 other names. Lineage: Archaea; Thermoproteati; Thermoproteota; Thermoprotei; Desulfurococcales.
GGGCCCGUAGCUCAGCCAGGUAGAGCGGCGGACCCAGUCGGUGCCGAGGCUCUUAACCCGUAGGUCCCGGGUUCAAAUCCCGGCGGGCCCGCCA